Molecule: non-coding RNA, 89 nt
Organism: Cicer arietinum (chickpea)
Lineage: Eukaryota; Viridiplantae; Streptophyta; Magnoliopsida; Fabales; Fabaceae
Source: Rfam
UCUCAGUGAUGAUUAAUACGAUGACGAGUCUGAUGAAAUUUCCAUUCUAAACAAUCAUGACGACGAAUCGAGGCAUUUGUCUGAGAGGA